AUUAAUUAAUAGGAAACAAAAUUGGAACAAUACAGAAAAAAUCAGCAUGGCCCCUCUGAAAAAGGAUGAUAUGAAAAUUUGUGAGGUGUUCCAUAUUUUA
Mesocricetus auratus (golden hamster) is the source of this 100-nucleotide small nuclear RNA. NCBI's taxonomy places the organism in Eukaryota, Metazoa, Chordata, Mammalia, Rodentia, Cricetidae. The record is from Ensembl.